UAAUACGUAUGUCCCGAGCGUUAUCCGGAUUUAUUGGGCGUAAAGCGAGCGCAGACGGUUUAUUAAGUCUGAUGUGAAAGCCCGGAGCUCAACUCCGGAAUGGCAUUGGAAACUGGUUAACUUGAGUGCAGUAGAGGUAAGUGGAACUCCAUGUGUAGCGGUGGAAUGCGUAGAUAUAUGGAAGAACACCAGUGGCGAAGGCGGCUUACUGGACUGCAACUGACGUUGAGGCUCGAAAGUGUGGGUAGCAAACAGGAUUAGAUACCCUGGUAGUCCACACCGUAAACGAUGAACACUAGGUGUUAGGAGGUUUCCGCCUCUUAGUGCCGAAGCUAACGCAUUAAGUGUUCCGCCUGGGGAGUACGACCGCAAGGUUGAA
RNAcentral lists this ribosomal RNA (379 nucleotides) under uncultured bacterium. RNAcentral's name for it is "bacterial SSU rRNA". It matches the Rfam family "Bacterial small subunit ribosomal RNA", at positions 521 to 898 of the family's 1533-position model. The record is from RNAcentral.